RNAcentral lists this ribosomal RNA (492 nucleotides) under uncultured bacterium. Its description in RNAcentral is "partial 16S ribosomal RNA". It matches the Rfam family "Bacterial small subunit ribosomal RNA", at positions 29 to 507 of the family's 1533-position model. The record is from RNAcentral.
AGUGAACGCUGGCGGUAUGCCUAACACAUGCGAGUCGAACGGCAGCACAGUAAGAGCUUGCUCUUACGGGUGGCGAGUGGCGGACGGGUGAGGAAUACAUCGGAAUCUACUUUUUCGUGGGGGAUAACGUAGGGAAACUUACGCUAAUACCGCAUACGACCUACGGGUGAAAGCAGGGGAGCUUGGGACCUUGCGCGAUUGAAUGAGCCGAUGUCGGAUUAGCUAGUUGGCGGGGUAAAGGCCCACCAAGGCGACGAUCCGUAGCUGGUCUGAGAGGAUGAUCAGCCACACUGGAACUGAGACACGGUCCAGACUCCUACGGGAGGCAGCAGUGGGGAAUAUUGGACAAUGGGCGCAAGCCUGAUCCAGCCAUACCGCGUGGGUGAAGAAGGCCUUCGGGUUGUAAAGCCCUUUUGUUGGGAAAGAAAAGCAGCAGGUUAAUCCCCCGCUGUUCUGACGGUACCCAAAGAAUAAGCACCGGCUAACUUCGUG